AGUCGAGCGGAGAUGAGGUGCUUGCACCUUAUCUUAGCGGCGGACGGGUGAGUAAUGCUUAGGAAUCUGCCUAUUAGUGGGGGACAACAUUCCGAAAGGAAUGCUAAUACCGCAUACGCCCUACGGGGGAAAGCAGGGGAUCUUCGGACCUUGCGCUAAUAGAUGAGCCUAAGUCGGAUUAGCUAGUUGGUGGGGUAAAGGCCUACCAAGGCGACGAUCUGUAGCGGGUCUGAGAGGAUGAUCCGCCACACUGGGACUGAGACACGGCCCAGACUCCUACGGGAGGCAGCAGUGGGGAAUAUUGGACAAUGGGCGGAAGCCUGAUCCAGCCAUGCCGCGUGUGUGAAGAAGGCCUUUUGGUUGUAAAGCACUUUAAGCGAGGAGGAGGCUACUUAGAUUAAUACUCUAGGAUAGUGGACGUUACUCGCAGAAUAAGCACCGGCUAACUCUGUGCCAGCAGCCGCGGUAAUACAGAGGGUGCGAGCGUUAAUCGGAUUUACUGGGCGUAAAGCGUGCGUAGGCGGCUGAUUAAGUCGGAUGUGAAAUCCCUGAGCUUAACUUAGGAAUUGCAUUCGAUACUGGUCAGCUAGAGUAUGGGAGAGGAUGGUAGAAUUCCAGGUGUAGCGGUGAAAUGCGUAGAGAUCUGGAGGAAUACCGAUGGCGAAGGCAGCCAUCUGGCCUAAUACUGACGCUGAGGUACGAAAGCAUGGGGAGCAAACAGGAUUAGAUACCCUGGUAGUCCAUGCCGUAAACGAUGUCUACUAGCCGUUGGGGCCUUUGAGGCUUUAGUGGCGCAGCUAACGCGAUAAGUAGACCGCCUGGGGAGUACGGUCGCAAGACUAAAACUCAAAUGAAUUGACGGGGGCCCGCACAAGCGGUGGAGCAUGUGGUUUAAUUCGAUGCAACGCG
This 909-nucleotide ribosomal RNA is filed under the name Acinetobacter tjernbergiae. Its description in RNAcentral is "bacterial SSU rRNA". It matches the Rfam family "Bacterial small subunit ribosomal RNA", at positions 60 to 963 of the family's 1533-position model. The record is from RNAcentral. Lineage: Bacteria; Pseudomonadati; Pseudomonadota; Gammaproteobacteria; Moraxellales; Moraxellaceae.